This 253-nucleotide ribosomal RNA is filed under the name uncultured bacterium. Its description in RNAcentral is "partial 16S ribosomal RNA". It matches the Rfam family "Bacterial small subunit ribosomal RNA", at positions 524 to 776 of the family's 1533-position model. The record is from RNAcentral.
UACGAAGGGGGCUAGCGUUGCUCGGAAUUACUGGGCGUAAAGGGCGCGUAGGCGGAUAGUUUAGUCAGAGGUAAAAGCCCAGGGCUCAACCUUGGAACUGCCUUUGAUACAGCACGUCUUGAGUCCGAUAGAGGUGGGUGGAAUUCCUAGUGUAGAGGUGAAAUUCGUAGAUAUUAGGAAGAACACCGGUGGCGAAGGCGGCCCACUGGAUCGGUACUGACGCUGAGGUGCGAAAGCGUGGGGAGCAAACAGG